UCCGGCUUAACGCCGGCAGUCUACCUAGAGUGCCCAACUUAAUGGUGGCAACUAAGUACGAGGGUUGCGCUCGUUGCGGGACUUAACCCAACACCUCACGGCACGAGCUGACGACAGCCAUGCAGCACCUGAACCAGCGGUCCCCGAAGGGAAAAUCCUAUUUCUAGGACGAUCCACUGUUGUCUAGUCCAGGUAAGGUGGGGAUGACGUUAGUGACCUUUGC
This 223-nucleotide unclassified non-coding RNA is filed under the name uncultured delta proteobacterium. RNAcentral describes it as "contains 16S-23S intergenic spacer region". Lineage: Bacteria; Deltaproteobacteria. The record is from RNAcentral.